CAGCAUCUCCAUGUCCCAGCCAUGAGGAGUGAUCAGUCAAUGGGUCAUCCAGAGGAUUUAAAAGAAUCCAGCUCAGAGCAGCAGGGAAGAUCCUCUUCAUGUCCCAACCAAAAGUCUAUAAGGAGUGAUCAGUGUGUGAGUUGUCCACUGGAUUUAAAAGAAUCUAGUGCUGCCUCACCCCUUGAUCAAAAUUGAGAAGCAGUCCAAUCAAAUCUGAGAUUUCAGUGUUUGUGUGAAGGGAUAUCAAGACAUAGUAACCUCAUACCUCUCAACGAGAUCUACAC
This is a long non-coding RNA of Sinocyclocheilus grahami, 284 nucleotides long. RefSeq lists it as uncharacterized. Lineage: Eukaryota; Metazoa; Chordata; Actinopteri; Cypriniformes; Cyprinidae. The record is from RefSeq and is a predicted model, not a curated record. The transcript has 3 exons.